RNAcentral lists this unclassified non-coding RNA (147 nucleotides) under Pezoloma ciliiferum. RNAcentral's name for it is "partial internal transcribed spacer 2". Lineage: Eukaryota; Fungi; Ascomycota; Leotiomycetes; Helotiales; Discinellaceae. The record is from RNAcentral.
CAACCAAUCAAGCCUCGGCUUGGUCUUGGGGUUUGCGGUCCCGCAUCCCCUAAACUUAGUGGCGGUGCGAUUGAGCUCUGAGCGUAGUAAUUUUUCUCGCUAUAGGGUCUCGGUCGUGACUUGCCAGCAACCCCCAAUUUUUUAUCA